CGGUCAAGUUAAGAAAGGGCGUACGGUGGAUGCCUUGGCGUCAAGUGGCGAUGAAGGACGUGGCCAACUGCGAUAAGCUUCGGGUAGCUGUAAGCAAGCGUUGAUCCGGAGAUCUCCGAAUGGGGCAACCCGCUGGAGCAAACCUCCAGCAUCCUCUUCAUUGAGGAAGCAAACCAGGGGAACUGAAACAUCUCAGUACCCUGAGGAACAGAAAACAACCGUGAUUCCCGAAGUAGCGGCGAGCGAACCGGGAACAGCCUAAACCGUAUCCGUGUCAAGCCCGGAAGCGUUGCGGAUACGGGGUCGUGGGACCAACUGUGGUUCUGUCCGGCAGGACCAAAGAGUUACCAAAUACCCUGGUAGUCGAAGAGGUCUGGAAAGCCUCGCCAAAGACGGUGACAGCCCGGUAGACCAAACCAGCGGUAUCUCUUGGUUGGGGAUCCCAAGUACUGCGGUCCACGUGGAAUUCCGUGGGAAUCUGGGGGGACCACCCCCUAAGGCUAAAUACUCCUUGACGACCGAUAGUGAACCAGUACCGUGAGGGAAAGGCGAAAAGACCCCCGGGAGGGGAGUGAAAGAGAACCUGAAACCGUAUGCCUACAAAACGUAGAAGGGCGAUGAUCCGGACUUAGUCCGUAUCCGCCUGACUGCGUGCCUUUUGGAGAAUGAGCCGGCGAGUUACGGUGAUUGGCGAGGUUAAGUGGGUUCCCCACGAAGCC
Molecule: ribosomal RNA, 719 nt
Filed under: Candidatus Atribacter fermentans
Lineage: Bacteria; Pseudomonadati; Atribacterota; Atribacteria; Atribacterales; Atribacteraceae
Description: partial 23S ribosomal RNA
Rfam family: Bacterial large subunit ribosomal RNA
Source: RNAcentral